Molecule: microRNA precursor, 92 nt
Organism: Ursus americanus (American black bear)
Lineage: Eukaryota; Metazoa; Chordata; Mammalia; Carnivora; Ursidae
Source: Ensembl
AAUGUGUCUCUUGUGUUAAGGUGCAUCUAGUGCAGUUAGUGAAGCAGCUUAGAAUCUACUGCCCUAAAUGCCCCUUCUGGCACAGGCUGCCU